UGGCUUCUUAUUGAUUAAGUGGUUGUAUAAGGUAAACAAUUUCUUAAAGGCUCGUCAGUCGUACAGAAUCUACAAGACUGUCCAGUUGAAUCCUCACCGUCCCCGUCAUCCACAGUUAAAUCGUACCGGCGAAAUCAGAGUCCUCGCUGACUUCUCGCAAAGAGAAAUUAUUCUAAUCUCCUUGAUGCAUUAUUGGAGUUGAUUAUUGGAUGAAAUUUUCGCCGGCGAGAUAGGCGCGAGAAGAGAUGAAAGUGGACUGGACUCAGCUCCCUCCUGAACUCAUAGAGACAAUCUCCAAAAGCAUCACCGUUUAUGCCGAUUACCUCCACUCUCGAGCUGUAUGUCGCACUUGGCGAUCCUCCAUUCCCAAAACCCCCUACCACCUCCCUCCUCAGCUCCCAUGGCUCAUGCUCCCUCAAUCCCAAUACAACCAAUCUCACCGCGCCUUCUUCAACCUCUCCACCAACAAAUUUCACUUCCUCAAUCUCCCUGAGGCCUCCCAUCGCAAUCGCCACUGCGGCUCCUCUCACGGCUGGCUCAUAAUCCUCGAUGACAGCCCAUUAGUUCUUCUCAUAAACCCCCUCACGAGGGCCAAGUUCUCUUUGCCUCCACUCACGAGUUUCCCUAAUGUUGUUAGCUUCAAUUACUCCGAUAUCGGUCGAGAAUACGCGCUUCAAAACUCGUCGGGCGAUCGUUAUACGCGUAGCUUGAGGCAAAUGCGAGAUUGGUUCAUCAAGAAAGUCGUUUUAUCAUCCAGUCCAUUGAAGGCGAGCAAUUUCGUAGCCAUGACGAUUCUUAAUCAAACAGGUGAUUUGGCUUAUUGUAGAAAUGGAAACCAAUCCUGGACCAUCAUAGAAAAUGCACGCUCUUUUUGCGAAGAUGUUGUAUGCUUUAAUGGAUUCUUUUACGCGGUCAAUAAGUCUGGUCAAAUUGCUAUUUGCGAUGUCACCAGCGAUUCACCUGAGGUUUCGUUUAUCGAAACGCCAAGGCAAGCUGGUGGUGAUAUGCAGUAUUUGGUUAGUUCAGCAGAUGAAUUGUUAUUGGUCACCAGGUAUUUGGAUCUUGAAUUCGAAGUUGAUCAUCCUGAUAGGCAACAAUAUAUAAUGUAUAGAACGAUUCGAUUUGAAGUUUUUAGGCUUGACUGGAGUGGACCUCGGUGGGUGAGGGUUAGAAGCUUGGGUGAUAAGGUGUUGUUCAUUGGUGAAAAUACCUCAUUAUCGUUGUCAGCUACAGAUUUCUCUGGUU
Molecule: unclassified non-coding RNA, 1245 nt
Filed under: Hevea brasiliensis (rubber tree)
Lineage: Eukaryota; Viridiplantae; Streptophyta; Magnoliopsida; Malpighiales; Euphorbiaceae
Source: RNAcentral